GUCUGCCUAUGUGUCUUGACCAAAUUACGUGCCAGCAGUCGCGGUAAUACGUAGAAGACUAGUGUUAUUCAUGUUUAAUCGGUUUAAAGGGUACCUAGACGGUAAAUCAAGCUUUCAAAGAAAAAAAUAAAGAGAAUUAAAGGACUAAUUUACUAGAGUUACUUAUGAGGGGGUAUUAAAGUACUGCUGGUGUAGAGAUGAAAUUCUGUCAUACCUCUUUUCAAAAGAAAAAUGAUGGCACAGGUAUAGGCGAAGGCAUCCCCUUAUGUGAUAACUGACGUUGAGGGACGAAGGCUUUGUGUAGCGAACAGGAUUAGAUACCCCAGUAGUCGAAGCAGAAAAUGAUGAAUGUCAUAGAUUAGAUAUAUAAGUUUAUUCUAUAAAUGAAAGUGUAAGCAUUCCACCUCAUGAGUAAUUUGGCAACAUUGGAACUGAAAUCAUUAGACCGUUUCUGAAACCAGUAGUGAAGUAUGUUGUUUAAUUUGAUGAUCCGCAAAAAACCUUACCACAAUUUGAAUAUUUAUAUUUUUUAUUGUUUUCUUAUUAAUUUCUUUUAUGAAUAAAAUUAAUAAAGAGGCAAUAAGAUAUAUUUACAAGCGUUGCACGGCUGUCUUCAGUUAAUGUCGCGAGACUUUGGUUAGUUCCAUUAAAUUAACGUAAACCCUUACUUUAUUUUUAUAUAGAGUAGUUCCCCGCUAUAUUGGAUAUGAUAACAGGGACUAAGACAAGUCAUCAUGGCCUAAAUAUUGUGGGCUAUAGACGUGCCACAUAAGCCUUACAAAAGGGUGUAAAAUUGCG
This 798-nucleotide ribosomal RNA is filed under the name Parmelia sulcata. RNAcentral describes it as "SSU rRNA". It matches the Rfam family "Bacterial small subunit ribosomal RNA", at positions 478 to 1259 of the family's 1533-position model. The record is from RNAcentral. Lineage: Eukaryota; Fungi; Ascomycota; Lecanoromycetes; Lecanorales; Parmeliaceae.